UAAAGUAAAUAUGCACCAAAA
This 21-nucleotide microRNA is filed under the name Callithrix jacchus (white-tufted-ear marmoset). RNAcentral's name for it is "cja-miR-559". Its record names the gene cja-miR-559. Lineage: Eukaryota; Metazoa; Chordata; Mammalia; Primates; Cebidae. RNAcentral also lists the same sequence under 2 other names. The record is from miRBase by way of RNAcentral.